AGCAGCCGCGGUAAUUCCAGCUCCAAUAGCGUAUAUUAAAGUUGCUGCAGUUAAAAAGCUCGUAGUUGAAUUUCGGGACCAAUAUGUCGGUCGUGCCUCGGUACGUACUGGCAUUAUUGGUUCCUACCUUCUGAAGAACCUCGAUGUCAUUAAUUUGGUGUCUUGGGGAAUCAGGACCGUUACUUUGAAAAAAUUAGAGUGUUUAAAGCAGGCUCGCGCUUGAAUACAUUAGCAUGGAAUAAUGAAAUAGGACGUUUGAUUCUAUUUUGUUGGUUUCUAGGAUCGACGUAAUGAUUAAUAGGGAUAGUUGGGGGCAUUAGUAUUCAAUUGUCAGAGGUGAAAUUCUUGGAUUUAUUGAAGACUAACUACUGCGAAAGCAUUUGCCAAGGAUGUUUUCAUUAAUCAAGAACGAAAGUUAGGGGAUCGAAGACGAUCAGAUACCGUCGUAGU
Molecule: ribosomal RNA, 450 nt
Filed under: uncultured Glomeromycotina
Lineage: Eukaryota; Fungi; Glomeromycota
Description: SSU rRNA
Rfam family: Eukaryotic small subunit ribosomal RNA
Source: RNAcentral